RNAcentral lists this ribosomal RNA (275 nucleotides) under uncultured bacterium. Its description in RNAcentral is "partial 16S ribosomal RNA". It matches the Rfam family "Bacterial small subunit ribosomal RNA", at positions 399 to 691 of the family's 1533-position model. The record is from RNAcentral.
GCGUGGAUGAAGAAGGUCUUCGGAUUGUAAAGUCCUUUCGGCGGGGACGAUGAUGACGGUACCCGCAGAAGAAGCCCCGGCUAACUUCGUGCCAGCAGCCGCGGUAAUACGAAGGGGGCUAGCGUUGCUCGGAAUGACUGGGCGUAAAGGGCGUGUAGGCGGUUUUCGCAGUCGGGUGUGAAAUUCCUGGGCUUAACCUGGGGGCUGCAUCCGAGACGUGGGGACUGGAGUGGGGAAGAGGGUCGUGGAAUUCCCAGUGUAGAGGUGAAAUUCGU